UUCAAAUUAGUAUAAUGAGAAGUCGUGUAGUAUAAGAGUUGAAUUAUUAUGAUAUGUAUAUUAAUUAAUUACUUAAUACAUAAAUAAAUAAAAACAUAUCUAAUUCUCAAGGUUCUUCCCAAAUAAGUACUAUAUAAAGAACUCGAAGAUUGUUAUGCAUAUUCCGAGAACAAAAGAAAAUAGAGUUGUAAGAAAAUCUUGAAACAAAAAUGGCAACGCACAUUUGCCAGUCUCUUCUAUUGGGACUUUUAUGCAUUGUGUUGGUUCUGGCUUCAGCAGGAUCAACACCAGAUUUAAACGAUUUAUCACCUUUUCCAUGCAUUGGGCCAUGCGAAAAUUGUGACCAGAUGUGCAUGAGGAAGGGAUACAAUAAAGGUGGAGGUUGUUAUUCAAUGGUUUGUUGUUGUCACUUUUAAGACAAUUCAUAGAAAUUAUGCAAUCAAGACCAACGAAGUAUUCACACGUUAAUGAGAUUACUUCAAAGAGCCAGAAUCUAUGAAGAUAAACAAAAAAGAAAUUAUGUAAGCAAAAAAUGAGAGUAAAAGCUGUUUUAAUAAAAUAAUAUGUACUUUAGUAAUAAAUAAUUGAUAUUCAAUAAUAAAAUUAUAUUUUAGAAUA
Lathyrus oleraceus (garden pea) is the source of this 618-nucleotide long non-coding RNA. RefSeq lists it as uncharacterized. Lineage: Eukaryota; Viridiplantae; Streptophyta; Magnoliopsida; Fabales; Fabaceae. The record is from RefSeq and is a predicted model, not a curated record. The transcript has 2 exons.